AACUGCGCACGAAUCAUGUCGCACUCUGUCGAUCUCCAGUGGAUCCUGGUCCGCCAGAACAGCCGCUUCCUGCAGAAGCGCGGCGGCAUUCGCAUGAGCAACGACCCGUUCAACAACAACGGCAACUGGACGAAGCGCCACUGCGGCUUCCUGAACGAGAAGGCUGCUGUUGUGAAGCCGGCGAAGGGUGGUGCGAUCUGCGUGACGGUGAAGGACGGCAGCAGCAACAACAAACCGAGGCAGACGUACAGGAAGACCGUGCAUGCUGCUGGCGUGAGGGCGUCGGACGUGAGCCGUGCCGUGGCUGCUGUGCGUCCGGACCUCGCGGACGUGUCGUUCCGCCGCGCGCGCCGCAUGGCCUGCAUUGCGAGCCGCACGGCGAAGGUGGCUGCUGCGCGCAAGGCCCGCUCCGAGAAGAUCAAGUUUUCACGCAAGUCCGUGCGCGCGAAGCGCCACUAGGCCGCGCGUGCGCGUGCCGCUGCCGGACUGCGAGGCGCCAGCCGAUUCGCUUGCGUUGCUUCUCUCCUUUUUCUUCGCAUUGCGCGUUUUGUUUUUGUGUUUUAUCAUUCCCCGCCUUCGCAAAACACGCGUCGUCUCUUCGCCGCCGCGCUCGUGCGCGGCAUCGCCGUCGGCUGCGAGUGACGGAGACAGGCGCGAUGUGAGUUGAGGCGAAGCCGCAAGAAAAAAAAAAUAUGUAUGCGAGCGCGAGGGCGAGCGGGCUCGGACACCCUCCUGCCCAGACUGCAGCGUGCGCUGCCGUCAUCGCAAGGAUGGGGAGGCGGCAGCUGUGUCGAGUCCGAUGGCAUUGUGCGCGUGUGUCCGAGUGGCGCCGACGCCGCGCCUCCACCUGCGCUCCUCUUGUUGGUACUCCCAAGCUCCGUCGUAGGUGCUGCGUCGUUGCUGUGAGCGAUGCGAUGAGGGUCGGCGUGGGUGAGGUGCCGGGGCAUGUAGUGAUGCAGGAGGGACUUCGUUGGUGGGUAAUCGCCUCCUUCACGUGACGUCUUAGGGCAGCCGCUGAUGCGAAGCUGAGAGGAGGGGUGGGGCAAGGAAAGGACUGCUUGCCGUGUUCUGCCAUCAAACCGAUCGAUGCUGCUGUUGGGUGCCCAUGCGCGUCGCCGGCACUCUUGCACUCGCCGGUGCGGACUGUUUCUUGGCUAUGUGCUUGUCGUGCCUCUCUCUCACUUUCUUCACGUCUCCCUUGUCGGUGUUUGUGCUCUUUCUUUGGUUUUUGGAUGCCCGCAUGCCGCUCUUCACUGACGGGACGGCCGCUCGCGCGACGCCUCUGUGGCGGCCUUUGGAUGUCGGAUGCCGACGCCCUACAAAUGGCGGCGCCGUUCUACGUG
This 1343-nucleotide unclassified non-coding RNA is filed under the name Leishmania donovani. RNAcentral's name for it is "gene:LdHU3.11.1370(CDS-product:60S_ribosomal_prot ein_L28_putative)". The record is from RNAcentral. Lineage: Eukaryota; Euglenozoa; Kinetoplastea; Trypanosomatida; Trypanosomatidae.